This 148-nucleotide small RNA is filed under the name Callithrix jacchus (white-tufted-ear marmoset). RNAcentral describes it as "Metazoan signal recognition particle RNA (ENSCJAG00000087219.1)". The record is from Rfam by way of RNAcentral. Lineage: Eukaryota; Metazoa; Chordata; Mammalia; Primates; Cebidae.
GCCGGGCAUGGUGAUGCGUGCCUGUAGUCCCAGCUACUUGGCAGGCUAAGGUAGGAGGAUGGCUUGAGCCCAGGAGGCAGAGGCUGCAGUGAGCUGAGAUUGUGCCUCUGCACUCCAGCCUGGGCAACAGAGCCAGACCCUGUCUUAA